This 160-nucleotide non-coding RNA is filed under the name Stegodyphus mimosarum. RNAcentral describes it as "eukaryotic small subunit ribosomal RNA". It matches the Rfam family "Eukaryotic small subunit ribosomal RNA", at positions 1669 to 1823 of the family's 1831-position model. Lineage: Eukaryota; Metazoa; Arthropoda; Arachnida; Araneae; Eresidae. The record is from Rfam by way of RNAcentral.
CUGCUGGUUGCUACUACUGAUUGAAUAAUUUAGUGAGGUCUUCAGACUGGCUCUUGAAGCGGCUUUCGGGUUGCAUCAGCGUGCAGGAAAGAUGACCAAACUUGAUCAUUUAGAGGAAGUAAAAGUCAUAACCAGAUUUCCGUAGGUGAACCUGUGGAAG